Molecule: long non-coding RNA, 957 nt
Organism: Strigops habroptila (Kakapo)
Lineage: Eukaryota; Metazoa; Chordata; Aves; Psittaciformes; Psittacidae
Exons: 3
Source: RefSeq, a predicted model, not a curated record
ACCCUGGGAAGAGGUGCUGGAAGCAGGCUGCUGCCACGAGAGAUAGUGGCCUCGCGUCCUGGGUUUGCUGCUCAGCGCCAUGAGGGGGAAAUAAGAUGGUAAUUUAAGAUCCGUUUAAGCUGAAAUCACAAACAUUAACUGCCUCAGUGGUAAUCAAACAGCCCACCGCCCCCUAGCUCAGAGCGGAAAUUGCUGGGGAAGCUCAGCCCUUCAAUCUGAAGUGUGGUGGUUUUAUACUCGUUCCUAGAAAAUCCAACUGCCUUCUCAGCUCUGCCAUUUACGUAUCUGCCAUGUUCAUAGGACUCACGGGAAAUGCGGCUUUCAUAGGAACAGUCAACUCAUUCUUUGAUUCUCUGGUUGACUUCGGAAGAGUUAAGGAUCUUCCUUCUUACACACCUUUUCCUUGGGAUACCUUCUGAUGUGUUUGUGUUCUCCAGGGGAAUAUUGCAGUCUGGAGUCCUUGGACUCCUUGCUCAGGCAAAAAUCAUACCACUCACUUACAGUUCAGCUUGGCUGGGGACUUCAGCCCUGUUUCCGAUCAAACACAAACUCACUGAAGAAGGGCUUUCUACUUCAGAAGCUCCAAAUCUUUGCUUCUUGCUCCCAGAGAGCUGAUAAAUUUGUGAUAAGCUUAUUAGGUAUGAGGAUGAAAUCUCCCAGGAAAGAGUCAAUCGUUUUCUAGGGGCUGUGACAUCACUGAAAGCCCUGUCAGAGCAGCUUAUGCAGUCAAUAGCUAGAAAUGUCCUCAUCUAAUUUAUUAGAAGACUUCCUUGAAGUCAGCCCAAAAGCUUGAGCACAGGAAGCAUGGGAUGGGAAGGGACUAAUUUUCUAAUUCCCAGCUUAAUUUACUCACUGCCUGUUCAUUUCCAUUUGUCCCUGUGUAAUACUGUCCCUGGAUGUUCAGAGCUCUCCUUCUGGAAUGUGUCCUGCCUAACAACAGCACCAGAUUCCUCACCA